This 572-nucleotide ribosomal RNA is filed under the name Papiliotrema flavescens. RNAcentral describes it as "eukaryotic LSU rRNA". It matches the Rfam family "Eukaryotic large subunit ribosomal RNA", at positions 93 to 654 of the family's 3401-position model. The record is from RNAcentral. Lineage: Eukaryota; Fungi; Basidiomycota; Tremellomycetes; Tremellales; Rhynchogastremaceae.
GUGAACCGGGAAGAGCUCAAAUUUGAAAUCUGGCGUGCUCAGUGCGUCCGAGUUGUAAUCUAUAGAGUCGUUUUCCGUGCCGGACUGUGUCCAAGUCCCUUGGAACAGGGUAUCAAAGAGGGUGAUAAUCCCGUACUUGACACAAUGACCGGUGCUCUGUGAUACGUCUUCUACGAGUCGAGUUGUUUGGGAAUGCAGCUCAAAAUGGGUGGUGAGUUCCAUCUAAAGCUAAAUAUUGGCGAGAGACCGAUAGCGAACAAGUACCGUGAGGGAAAGAUGAAAAGCACUUUGGAAAGAGAGUUAAACAGUACGUGAAAUUGUUAAAAGGGAAACGAUUGAAGUCAGUCGUGACUGAGAGGCUCAGCCGGUUCUGCCGGUGUAUUCCCCUCAGUCGGGUCAACAUCAGUUUUGUUCGGUGGAUAAGGGCAGUUGGAAGGUGGCACCCUCGGGUGUGUUAUAGCCAGCUGUCGCAUACAUCGGAUGAGACUGAGGAAUGCAGCUCGCCUUUAUGGCCGGGGUUCGCCCACGUUCGAGCUUAGGAUGUUGACAUAAUGGCUUUAAACGACCCGUCU